AUGAAAUCACAGACCUGGGUCUUCAUAUUCCUCUUGAACUGGGUGUCUGGUGCUGAUGGGAACAUUGUGAUGAUCCAGUCUCCCAAAUCUAUGUCGACAUCAGUAGGAGACAGGGUCACCAUGACCUGCAAGGCCAGUCAGAAUGUGGGUACUGCUGUAGCCUGGUACCUUCAGAAACCAGGGAAGUCUCUUGAACUGCUUAUCUAUGGGGCAUCCAACCGGUAUACUGGGGUCCCUGAUCGGUUCAUAGGCAGUGGAUCUGGGACUGAUUUCACUCUCACCAUCAGCAAAUGUGCAGGCUGA
This is a non-coding RNA of Grammomys surdaster, 303 nucleotides long. The record is from the annotation of a RefSeq genome assembly. Lineage: Eukaryota; Metazoa; Chordata; Mammalia; Rodentia; Muridae.